Molecule: ribosomal RNA, 114 nt
Filed under: Salvia splendens (bonfire salvia)
Lineage: Eukaryota; Viridiplantae; Streptophyta; Magnoliopsida; Lamiales; Lamiaceae
Source: RNAcentral
GCGAUCAUACCAGCACUAAUGCACCGGAUCCAUCAGAACUCCGAAGUUAAGCGUGCUUGGGCGAGAGUAGUACUAGGAUGGGUGACCCCCUGGGAAGUCCUCGUGUUGCACCCC